RNAcentral lists this small nucleolar RNA (142 nucleotides) under Marmota marmota marmota (Alpine marmot). The record is from RNAcentral. Lineage: Eukaryota; Metazoa; Chordata; Mammalia; Rodentia; Sciuridae.
UUGCAAACUUCAUCACUAGCUCUGCAUGAUGUGGCGCAAAAGCUAAGGGAACCAGGUUGCUCAAUUAAAUUAAUUGUAAUGACAGGAACACAUUAGCCUCAGAAGCUAUUAAUUGAGGUGCUCCAUUUUUUUUAAUAUACUG